Molecule: ribosomal RNA, 468 nt
Filed under: uncultured bacterium
Lineage: Bacteria
Description: partial 16S ribosomal RNA
Rfam family: Bacterial small subunit ribosomal RNA
Source: RNAcentral
GACGAACGCUGGCGGCGUGCUUAACACAUGCAAGUCGAACGGAAAGGCCCUUCUUUUGUGGUAUGCUCGUGUGGCGCACGUGUGUGUAACACGUGUGUCCCCUGCCCUUUACUUUGGUAUAUCUUCAGGAAACUGGGUCUAAUACCGUAUAUGAGCUCCUUCUGCAUGGUGGGUUUUAGAGAGUUUCGGCGUUUGGGGAUGGACUCGCGGCUUAUCAUUUUGUUGGUGGGGUAGUGUCUUACCAAGGCUUUGACGGGUAGCCGGACUGAGAGGGUGACCGGCAAAAUUGGGACUGGGAAAGGGCCAGGACGCAAACGGGGGGAAGAAGGGGGGAAAAUGGAAAAAUGGGCGGAAGCAGGAGGCAGAAAGGCCGGGUGGGGGAGGACGGCUUUCGGGUUGUAAACCGCUUUAGCCUGGGAAGAAGAGUGAGUGACGGUAAUGGGUAAAGAAGCACCGGCUAACUACGUG